UCCCAGGUGUUGUAGAAAGCUGUUGUCGAUGACUAUGAAAAGCAGACCAUCAGCCAGCAUUUUCAUUGGGCCAAUUCCAUAAACAGAGCUGCAAAAACUAACUUCCUCCUGCCUAAACUGUCAAAACAUGUGGCACAUAAUAGCAACUCUUCUGGUGUAUCAGCUGACUGCACAGAUGCCCCAAUCUCCAGCAGGAUAUCCUUAAAUUGCACAGCUGGCCUCCAAUUUGAGAUCCUCCUGUCUCAGCUUCCACGUCCCUAUUACAGGUGGGGUCCUGGCUCACAUUACUUUUUUCAGAUUCUGAGCACAUUGGAUGAAGCCCAUACAUCUUGG
Molecule: long non-coding RNA, 333 nt
Organism: Sciurus carolinensis (gray squirrel)
Lineage: Eukaryota; Metazoa; Chordata; Mammalia; Rodentia; Sciuridae
Exons: 3
Source: RefSeq, a predicted model, not a curated record